GCCUGUAGUCCUAGCUACUUGGGAGGCUGAGGCAGGAGGAUCACCUGAGUCUAGGAGUUCUGGGUGGGUGUCUGCACUAAGUUUGGCAUCAACAUGUGACCUCCUGGAAGUGGGGGAAUCACCAGGUUGCCUAAGGAGGGGUGAACCAGCCCAGGUUGGAAAUUGAGCAGGUCAAAACUCCCGUGUUGAUCAAAGUCACAAGAGUUGGAAGAGGUAAAGCUGGGGCCCACUCUCC
RNAcentral lists this signal recognition particle RNA (235 nucleotides) under Castor canadensis (American beaver). RNAcentral describes it as "Metazoan signal recognition particle RNA (ENSCCNG00000023287.1)". It matches the Rfam family "Metazoan signal recognition particle RNA", at positions 20 to 271 of the family's 299-position model. Rfam says of the family: The signal recognition particle (SRP) is a universally conserved ribonucleoprotein. It is involved in the co-translational targeting of proteins to membranes. The record is from RNAcentral. Lineage: Eukaryota; Metazoa; Chordata; Mammalia; Rodentia; Castoridae.